UACGUAGGGACCGAGCGUUGUCCGGAAUCAUUGGGCGUAAAGAGCGUGUAGGCGGCCACUUAAGUCCUGCGUGAAAUCUUGCGGCUCAACCGCAAGCGGUCGUGGGAAACUGGGUGGCUAGAGUGCGGGAGAGGAGAGUGGAAUACCUGGUGUAGCGGUGGAAUGCGCAGAUAUCAGGAAGAACACCCGUGGCGAAGGCGGCUCUCUGGAACGCAACUGACGCUGAGACGCGAAAGCGUGGGGAGCAAACAGG
Molecule: ribosomal RNA, 253 nt
Filed under: uncultured bacterium
Lineage: Bacteria
Description: partial 16S ribosomal RNA
Rfam family: Bacterial small subunit ribosomal RNA
Source: RNAcentral